GUGCUCACUUCGGCAGCAAAUAUACUAAAAUUGGAAUGAUAUAGAGAAGAUGAACAUGGUCCCUGCGCAAGGAUGACAUGCAAAUUUGCGAAGUGUUCUGUAUUUUU
This is a small nuclear RNA of Symphalangus syndactylus (siamang), 107 nucleotides long. NCBI's taxonomy places the organism in Eukaryota, Metazoa, Chordata, Mammalia, Primates, Hylobatidae. The record is from RefSeq and is a predicted model, not a curated record.